Long non-coding RNA from Strongylocentrotus purpuratus (purple sea urchin), 894 nucleotides. RefSeq lists it as uncharacterized. The transcript is spliced from 2 exons. The record is from RefSeq and is a predicted model, not a curated record. NCBI's taxonomy places the organism in Eukaryota, Metazoa, Echinodermata, Echinoidea, Camarodonta, Strongylocentrotidae.
ACUAAACUCGUUUUUACCAUUACAAAACUUGGUUUUUUAUUUAAGAACACCGUACAGCAUAUUGGGUGUGUCUAAUUUAAAACAUACGUGUCAGACCCGAAGCCUCAUUACUUUAAUGGUCACGUGGGUCUGUGUACUUACGUUAAGGACAAAGUAGUCCCUUGAUUAUUUAUCUAUAAAUUGUUUGUAGGUAAAGUUAAAUGGACCGUAAUGAAAUUAUGAUAUUUUCUCAUGUAUGUUUUAUUGUUCUAUCCUAAACUUGAUUAUUAUACUUAGUUCAGAAGGAUGUGCAUUCAUGCUCGAAAAGUAGUCCUUACGAAUGCGCGCUAUGUCAGGCAAGGCCCUGAUGGGUAUUUUAUAUAGCGGACAUUCGUUCACUUGUUUUAAGCGAUGCUGGUCUGUCUCCAUUUACUCCGACACGCUUAAGUUUUGCCGUCAAUGUAGCCUGUUUGUGUUGCACCAUUUAAACAGCCGCUGAGGCGUAAGUUGAGGUUACUGAGGUUACAAACUACGCUACAAAGCUACAAUUGACGAUGACGUAUGAUUUUUUCUUACCCGUGUGACAUUUAGUCUAGGGUGAGUUGCGUAGGAUUAUUUAUGUUGUGUAUGCAAUUUAUUGUAGUUAAGACUAUUUGAUAUCUAUACAUGCAUUUACAGAUAAUAUUGAAUACUAUGUAUUUUAUUUCUCGGUUUCUUAAUUGCAUUUCAAUGUAUAUGAACUGAACUGAACUGUACUGCAUUUUGUCUACAGAAAUUUAAUCCAAAUGAUGACUUGCAUGAUUUAAUUAUGUGAUUAUUGUACUUAUGAUGCUUUUGUUUUAUUUUUCUGUACAAUGCAGGGAUUUCCGUUUUCCGUUUUUAUUUAUAAACGAAAUAAACUUCAUUUGCACUUCA